UAACUUAUCUAUUUUCAAGUAAUUCUAUGGAAUUUUAUGUAGUUAAAUGAAAUAAAUAAAUAAACUAUAGCUGAACCCAGAUACGGUAACGGCCCUUAAAGCGUUAAAUAUAUUUAUUUAUAUAUAUAUAUAUAUUAAAGGGCUUUCCUUUUACGUGGUUUUGGUUCUUUGAAAAGGGUUGCCAGAUGUUAAAAAAUCAAAUGCAAAUAAUAGAGUUCGGAGAUGUAUACGUAAAAGAUUUAACCCACCGUCACAUCUGCACCGAGAAUUGAAGAGAUUGGUUUGGGUAAGGAAAACUUGAAUAACUGCUCCAACUCUUUACCGAUAUGGACUUACGAGGUAUCAGUGGAAAGGCAGAGUAUAUGUCAGACCGCAACGGAGUACAGAGCCGCAAGUAGUCAAAAGCAAAGAAAGUGUCGAUACAUUGUCAGCGAACUAAAGCAGAUAAGAGAAAAAUCAAGAAACCACCAAACAUAACAUAGGGAUGACGAAAAAACAUCGAUACAUCGAAAAUUUUCCACACGAUGUAUAAAUAGCAGAGACCAUAACGAUUAUAAGAAAUAAAAUUAAAUAUUGCUCAAUAAUUAUUACUGAACAGAGGAAAA
Molecule: long non-coding RNA, 605 nt
Organism: Rhagoletis pomonella (apple maggot)
Lineage: Eukaryota; Metazoa; Arthropoda; Insecta; Diptera; Tephritidae
Exons: 3
Source: RefSeq, a predicted model, not a curated record